Long non-coding RNA from Lolium perenne, 1088 nucleotides. RefSeq lists it as uncharacterized. NCBI's taxonomy places the organism in Eukaryota, Viridiplantae, Streptophyta, Magnoliopsida, Poales, Poaceae. The record is from RefSeq and is a predicted model, not a curated record.
UUCUCGCCACUUCCCCUAUUUCUCCUGAUCUCUCCCCCAUUAUCGCCACGAACGAGAUCGAUCUGAGGCUCCCUACGAUCCACCCGCCCCCAGCUAGGUCGAACGGCUCCGCCCUCCUCAUCCGCGGGUUCGGAGCUGCGGCCUCGCCCGUGAUCUUCUCCUCCGUGCCCCAGCCCGCUUGAACAUCGCCGCCCUCCUCACUGGCGGGAUCAGAGACGCCGGCCUCACCCACGACGUCUUGUGCGCCCUCUUCCCUGGUUUCCUCCCACGGGUGUUGCACCGUCCGCAUCCAUGAGAAUGCCUUCGCCUGCAACCGCGAGAAUGCCGCUGCCCGCACCCGCGUGAACGCCGCCGCCCUUCUCAAGGAUUACGUGCCGACUGUCUUCGACAACUUCAGCGCCAACAAUGUCAUUGACGCGAGCACCGUCAGUCAACCUGGUAUUGUGGGGUACAACAGGCAAAGCAAGCUUCUACAAAGCCACAAAGAAGAAAGCGUGUCCAGUCCUACGUAUUUCUACCAACUUGUAAGUAUUCUACCAAGCUCAUUGUAGUUCCAUGUCUAACGCAACUCAUUGUUUGUGCUGGAUCAAUUGUUCUGUCCCAAUAGGAAAAAGUGGCGUUGAUAACGAACGGAAAAACAUGGUUGUCUUUUAGAAAAAGGCAAGUACAACAAUGAGGACCCUAGUCCCAUUGAGUUUUCCAAAGAGACACAUAACAAUUGAAAGGUGGGAUGCGUGAGCGCUGCUGCCCUUGAAUCUUGUACCGCUCCAGAAGACCGUAUCUAGAACACAAACUAUGGAUGAAGUUCUAAAGCAGUACAACUCCUCAAGCGCCUUCCUUUCUAGGGUACCAAUAAGGAAAUCAUCCACGCCAAGUGAGGAGAAAAAGUUAAACAACAGAAGAGGGAGGGCUACGUGUUCUAAGUGUUUCCAAAUAAAGGGCUAUGUGUAGCUUUGCCUCCCUUUGAAGUUUUCAUGCUAUUCUAGCAUUAGCUUAGUUUGCUUGUCUUAAGUUAUGUUAAUUCUAUCGUGUAACUUAUUUGGUUAUGUACGAUGAUAUCCCGUUAUGAGUUAGAUAUAUAUUGUGUU